CUUUCUCCGCCGGCGACCGGCGCACGGGGUGAGUAACACGUAUGCAACCUGCCCCUGUCAGGGGGACAACCCGCCGAAAGGCGGGCUAAACCCGCGUACAUGCCACCGGGGCAUCCCGGAGGCAGGAAAGGCUUCGGCCGGACAGGGAUGGGCAUGCGGCGCAUUAGGCAGUAGGCGGGGUAACGGCCCACCUAACCGACGAUGCGUAGGGGUUCUGAGAGGAAGGUCCCCCACACUGGUACUGAGACACGGACCAGACUCCUACGGGAGGCAGCAG
RNAcentral lists this ribosomal RNA (277 nucleotides) under uncultured bacterium. RNAcentral describes it as "partial 16S ribosomal RNA". It matches the Rfam family "Bacterial small subunit ribosomal RNA", at positions 79 to 354 of the family's 1533-position model. The record is from RNAcentral.